AGCAGUGGGGAAUAUUGCACAAUGGGCGCAAGCCUGAUGCAGCCAUGCCGCGUGUAUGAAGAAGGCCUUCGGGUUGUAAAGUACUUUCAGCAGUGAGGAAGGCGGGUACGUUAAUAGCGUGCUUGUUUGACGUUAGCUGCAGAAGAAGCACCGGCUAACUCCGUGCCAGCAGCCGCGGUAAUACGGAGGGUGCGAGCGUUAAUCGGAAUUACUGGGCGUAAAGCGCAUGCAGGUGGUUUGUUAAGUCAGAUGUGAAAGCCCGGGGCUCAACCUCGGAAUUGCAUUUGAAACUGGCAGACUAGAGUACUGUAGAGGGGGUAGAAUUUCAGGUGUAGCGGUGAAAAUGCGUAGAGAUCUGAAGGAAUACCGGUGGCGAAGGCGGCCCCCUGGACAGAUACUGACACUCAGAUGCGAAAGCGUGGGGAGCAAACAGGAUUAGAUACCCUGGUAG
This 451-nucleotide ribosomal RNA is filed under the name uncultured bacterium. RNAcentral describes it as "bacterial SSU rRNA". It matches the Rfam family "Bacterial small subunit ribosomal RNA", at positions 350 to 793 of the family's 1533-position model. The record is from RNAcentral.